This 484-nucleotide ribosomal RNA is filed under the name uncultured bacterium. RNAcentral's name for it is "partial 16S ribosomal RNA". It matches the Rfam family "Bacterial small subunit ribosomal RNA", at positions 30 to 507 of the family's 1533-position model. The record is from RNAcentral.
AUUGAACGCUGGCGGCAGGCCUAACACAUGCAAGUCGAGCGGAUGAAGGGAGCUUGCUCCUGGAUUCAGCGGCGGACGGGUGAGUAAUGCCUAGGAAUCUGCCUGGUAGUGGGGGAUAACGUCCGGAAACGGGCGCUAAUACCGCAUACGUCCUGAGGGAGAAAGUGGGGGAUCUUCGGACCUCACGCUAUCAGAUGAGCCUAGGUCGGAUUAGCUAGUUGGUGGGGUAAAGGCCUACCAAGGCGACGAUCCGUAACUGGUCUGAGAGGAUGAUCAGUCACACUGGAACUGAGACACGGUCCAGACUCAUACGGGAGGCAGCAGUGGGGAAUAGUGGACAAUGGGCGAAAGCCUGAUCCAGCCAUGCCGCGUGUGUGAAGAAGGUCUUCGGAUUGUAAAGCACUUUAAGUUGGGAGGAAGGGCAGUAAGUUAAUACCUUGCUGUUUUGACGUUACCAACAGAAUAAGCACCGGCUAACUUCGUG